Molecule: long non-coding RNA, 916 nt
Organism: Hyla sarda
Lineage: Eukaryota; Metazoa; Chordata; Amphibia; Anura; Hylidae
Exons: 4
Source: RefSeq, a predicted model, not a curated record
GACAUGUAUUAGGUAACAGGUGGGGGAGCUGUGGUGGAGGACGGGGAAGGCACCUGGUUCGGUGAGUGCGGCCUCUCUUCUCGUUCUUUGUUCCUUGUCAUACCAAGGCUGUGGUGCCUAAGGAAGCCCAAACAUCUCUCUGCCACAUUAGAAGACAAAGGCAGAAGUAAAGUCUGGAAUUGGAAUUUCACACUUCAAGCCCAGACCCUUUUAGACUUGAGCAGCAGGACCCAGCAGAGAAGCAGAAUUGGUGACAUCUCGUAGCUCCGCCCCUGCUCCAGGUCAGCCCCGGGACAGAAGAUGCAGAAAAAGAUAACGAGAGAACCGGAACACGGAAUACGAUCAGGGAGUUUGAGACAUUAACAACUGCAACCUGCCAGAGUCCAGGGACCAUAAACAACUGCAACCUGCCAGAGUCCAGUGACCAUAAACAACUGCAAUCUGCCAGAGUCCAGUGACCAUAAACAACUGCAACCUGUCAGAGUCCAGUGACCAUAAACAACUGCAACCUGCCAGAGUCCAGUGACCAUAAACAACUGCAACCUGCCAGAGUCCAGUGACCAUAAACAACUGCAACCUGCCAGAGUCCAGUGACCAUUAACAACUGCAACCUGCCAGUCCAGUCCAGUGAUGGUGUUCUGGCCCGCCAUGGUUUCUGUGCUUACUUACCCUGAUGACGUGCUCUUCCUGCUCUGCUAAUACCAUUGUGAAUAUAUUGCAGCCAAUGACUGGCCAAAGUACAUGUUCAGAACAUCAGCAGGGAAGCAGAAUGUAUCAUCACAAUAAGUUAAUACAGAGAGUGGGCCAGAACGGUUAUUUUAUACCCAAAGCAAGUUGUAUUUAUUACAUAUUAUGUGUCAGGAAACGGUUUUAAUAAAAAAAUAAAAAAAAUGCCAAUGCAUUUCAAUUGUUUUGU